UUACUUGCACUAGAUUUUUACUCGUCAAUGGAGAGUCGGAUUGUGCUUGAUGAGUUUAAUUCAUCAGUCUUGCAAUUUCUAUUCUUGGUGGUUUUCUCUUAGCUUCUCAAUUUAAUUCCAGGGAAUUCAGCAUCAAAGAUCUGUUCUUGAGUUUUGAAUUUUGAAUUUUUCCUUCUUCUUUAAUUUGAGGCUUAUAGGGCAAAUCCAAGGUUGUAUCUUUGAGUUCUGCUCUAAAACUCUGAGCUCCUCUCUUUUCAAGCUUCAAUCUUGUUUGCUUUUUUGCUGACAAAACUCUUCUGUUAUUGUAUAUUUUUCAAUAUUUAUGAGGUUCUGAGUGCGGGUUGAUGAACUUAUACAGUGUACAAAGUCAGUGGGUACACUAGAAGAGAUGUUCUCUAGCAUUCCUUACACUCACUCAUGAUAUGACAAGUGUAACUGCCAAGAAUAGUUACAGACUUGUUAUGCUACUAUGGAUAAGAAGAUUCAUCUGAAAACAAGUAUAGUUUCACCUCAACGAUUUUCAACAAAUGCUUUUUAUUUAGAAAACAUGGUUGUCGAGGUUAUGUAUGUGAACAUGUGAUUCUCAACAAUUCUUUCUACAUAUCUAAUGGUUAAAAUACUAGCGUGUUUCAUGCUCUCAUAUGGUAGUUGUUAGAUUUUAAUCUGAGUUUAGACUCCAUGUAAAAGACUAGUCUUUGGCCUAUUUAGUUGGAGCCUUCAAUCACUUAGCUCA
RNAcentral lists this long non-coding RNA (733 nucleotides) under Rosa chinensis. RNAcentral's name for it is "sRNA RchiOBHm_Chr5g0034261". Lineage: Eukaryota; Viridiplantae; Streptophyta; Magnoliopsida; Rosales; Rosaceae. The record is from RNAcentral.